This 2758-nucleotide long non-coding RNA is filed under the name Mustela putorius furo (domestic ferret). Its description in RNAcentral is "lncRNA (ENSMPUG00000029070.1)". Lineage: Eukaryota; Metazoa; Chordata; Mammalia; Carnivora; Mustelidae. The record is from RNAcentral.
GCCUGUAUCAGGCCCGGCCCCUGGCGCCCGGCCAGCCAGGAGGCUGGGAGGCUGGGAGGCUGGAGGUUUGCAGGCUCAUAAAAAGAAAGCGCUUGUUCCCUGCCAGAACAGAACGCGCCAGGUUUGAUGGGGAGGACAAGGGCACUGCUGGGACUGGCAUGUUCACCCAAAAGACCGUGUUCGUCCUACAGAUCGGGAGGCAGGCGAAGAUUUGCAGCUUCUUUGGCAGGGAGGUACGGCGCCGCUGACCCACUUACAGGUGACCCAGUUCCAGCUCACCGUGGACAAGUGCCAGUGAGCGGACUGGCCCUGGCCUGGGGAGCAACACUUGGAGUAAACCGCAGGGAAAAAUCAAGGUCAAAGCCGCUGGGUUCUAAUAUCACCCCUGUUACCAACUGGCUGUGUGCGCCCCCUCCCCACCCGAGGCAACCACCUUCAUGUGCACACAGUAGAUUCAUGAAAGCAACUCGAGCUGUGCUCUGCCCAGCGAAAGAAGAUGCCAGCACUUCUCUUCAUCUCUUGCGGACUCCUUUCUCAGCACAGCAGGAUGGGAUGGGGCGGUGAGAUUUCCAUCCCAAGGAGUGGAUCGCGAGCCAACUGGGGUAAGUGGUCCCUUCAGGCAAAUGCCUGGCUGCUGUCAGAUUUCCACAUACCCCCACCCCUGCUCUCCCACACCACAGUGUCAGGCGAAUGGGGGAGGAGAACAGAACUGACGCCACCACCUCCCACAUUCUAUCAUGCCCACAGAUCCUCUGGGGAGAUAGUUCGUGAGCAGUAUGCUGACUUGGCAUGGCUGAGGAGGGGCCUGAGACUCAGCAUUCCUACCAAGUUUCCUGGUAAUGCGGGGGCUGUGGGUCCCAAGACCACAUUUCUGAAUAGCUUCUGAAGGACGAAGGGCUUCUGGGGUCUCGUGCAAAGAGAGGAGUCGGGUCUUAGCAUGCCCCCACACAGGACCCCACUCCCCAUCCCCAGGGAAGUUUCCAGGCCUCUGCAAUGAUGAUUGCGGAUGUGCAAAUGGCCCCCCUCCCUGACUUAUGCAUGAGCCCAGGGAACUCCAGGUCUGACCAUCUGGGUACAGUUGGAGACCUGUCACCUCAGCCAACUCUGCCGCCCCUCAGCAGUCACUAGGGCCAUGGAACCCUUGAAGACUGUGACAUCCCCGUCUGGACCUUGGUCUAGUUCCCCUGGCCCUCAACACGGCUGUCUUCCACUGGCAAAACCUCGAGGGCCAUCACCAGCCCCCAAGUGACAAGGACAGCUGGGCUCAAUGCACAUGACCGCCUUUCCGAGUUCUCUUUAAUAUUAAUACGAGAAUGGGGUACAGCCUCUGACCUCUCCUUCCAGAGCCCCAAACACAACCGGAAGCCAAAACGCCACUGCCAGAGAUAUGCCCUUCACGUCUCAAAUAUCCCUCCCUCUGGCCAGAUCCCCAAAGGGGCAACAAGAAUCCCUUCAGGAGGCUGCCCCAGCUCCAGCCCCAUCUUCCCGUCAUCCUCCCACCGUCCUCCCAAAGCAGAAGGAACAGCCUCUCCCUCUUCCUCUUCCUGUCUGGUUGGGACUUCCCUCUCAACAUAAAGGAGAACCCAAAGGGAUAGAGGAAAUCCUUUUCUCUCCAAACAAUGCCUGACUUCCUCCCUGAUUUCCUCCCUGUGGGUUGAAACACAGUCUAAUUGACCAAAGCUCAACAACAGCUUCCAUCGUGAGCAGUUCACGCUACUCCCAGGUGCUCUGGGAACCCCGAGACCCACCGGAAACCCACCAGAAAAUACUGCCCCAAACGAUCCUUGCUCCAUGGGGAAUGAAGGCGUCUCCCUCGUUGGCCCCAAGAAUCUGCAAAAGGACCGUUCUCUUGGCAACUUGGAAAUGGAGCCCACUCCUUCAGCCCCCUGGCCGAAGCCACACCCUCCCAGGACAGCCUACACCCCGUGACUGAUGGUGGCAGGGUACCACCUUAGGGACCACUGUGAUGGGCCAUCUGGCUACAGAGUUCCCUGUGGGCUGAGCUGAAGCUGAGGCCUGUGGGUGGGGCCCCAGAUGCGCCACCUCCCAUGGUGAUUACUGAGCACCUAUAGGGUGCUGGACACCUGUGGGCCACUGGGAAGAUCGCUGGUCAAGAAUCGGCUUUCGGGGGCAUCUGGGUGGCUAAAGCAGUUCAGUGUCUGACUCUUGAUUCCAGCUCAGGUCCUGAUCUCAAGGUCGUGAGAGGGAGCCCCGUGUCGGUCUCCACGUUCAGCAGGGAGUCUGCUUGAGAGUCUGUCUCUCCCCUGAUUUUCGUGCAAGCACAAGCUCAUUCUCCUUCGUGGAUGCAUACUUUUGUCUAGUACAAUAAAUAUGACUUACUAGAAAAGAUUAAAUAAAAAAGAAAUACAAGGGAUGUCUGGGGGGUUUCAGUCAGCAAAGUAUCUGCCUUCAGCUCAGGUCAUGAUCUCAGGGUCCUGGGAUCAAGUCCCGCAUCGGGCUCUCUGCUCAGCAGGGACCCUGCUUCCUCCUCUCUCUCUGCCUGCCUCUCUGCCUACUUGUGAUCUCUCUCUGUAAAAUAAAUAAAUAAAAUCUUUAAAAAAAAAAAAAGCAGAUUGGCCCCAAACAACUGCUUUAGAAAAAAAUUAAAAUAAAAUAAAAUAAAUCUUAAAGAAAAAAAAAAAGAGUCCACUUUCAAAGCACUUAUAAGUGACCUCACCCCCCCCCCCGUGGUGGGCACUGUGAUAAACCAUCCAGUUCCCUUUUCAGGGGCUGACUCAGCUACUGAGAGCCCCCUGGC